ACUCCUACGGGAGGCAGCAGUGGGGAAUAUUGCACAAUGGGCGCAAGCCUGAUGCAGCCAUGCCGCGUGUGUGAAGAAGGCCUUCGGGUUGUAAAGCACUUUCAGUUGUGAGGAAGGUGGUGUCGUUAAUAGCGGCAUUAUUUUGACGUACCUACAGAAGAAGCACCGGCUAACUCCGUGCCAGCAGCCGCGGUAAUACGGAGGGUGCGAGCGUUAAUCUGAAUUACUGGGCGUAAAGCGCAUGCAGGCGGCCUGUUAAGUCAGAUGUGAAAGCCCGGGGCUUAACCUCGGAAUUGCAUUUGAAACUGGCAGGCUAGAGUCUUGUAGAGGGGGGUAGAAUUUGCA
RNAcentral lists this ribosomal RNA (345 nucleotides) under uncultured bacterium. RNAcentral's name for it is "bacterial SSU rRNA". It matches the Rfam family "Bacterial small subunit ribosomal RNA", at positions 335 to 672 of the family's 1533-position model. The record is from RNAcentral.